CCUACGGGAGGCAGCAGUGGGGGAUAUUGCACAAUGGGGGGAACCCUGAUGCAACGACGCCGCGUGGGUGAAGGAGUGCUUCGGCAUGUAAAGCCAUAUCGGCAGGGAAGAAGCAAGACGGUACCUGACUAAGAAGCCCCGGCUAACUACGUGCCAGCAGCCGCGGUAAUACGUAGGGGGCGAGCGUUAUCCGGAUUCACUGGGUGGAAAGGGAGCGUAGACGGCCAUGCAAGCCAGGGGUGAAAGCCCGGGGCCCAACCCCGGGACUGCCCUUGGAACUGCAUGGCUGGAGUGCGGGAGGGGCAGGCGGAAUUCCUGGUGUAGCGGUGAAAUGCGUAGAUAUCAGGAGGAACACCGGCGGCGAAGGCGGCCUGCUGGACCGCGACUGACGUUGAGGCUCGAAAGCGUGGGGAGCGAACAGGAUUAGAUACCCCUGUAGUC
Molecule: ribosomal RNA, 441 nt
Filed under: uncultured bacterium
Lineage: Bacteria
Description: partial 16S ribosomal RNA
Rfam family: Bacterial small subunit ribosomal RNA
Source: RNAcentral